GAUGAACGCUGGCGGCGUGCCUAAUACAUGCAAGUCGAGCGAACAGAUGAGGAGCUUGCUCCUUUGACGUUAGCGGCGGACGGGUGAGUAACACGUGGAUAACCUACCUAUAAGACUGGGAUAACUUCGGGAAACCGGAGCUAAUACCGGAUAACAUAUUGAACCGCAUGGUUCAAUAGUGAAAGACGGCUUUGCUGUCACUUAUAGAUGGAUCCGCGCUGCAUUAGCUAGUUGGUAAGGUAACGGCUUACCAAGGCAACGAUGCGUAGCCGACCUGAGAGGGUGAUCGGCCACACUGGAACUGAGACACGGUCCAGACUCCUACGGGAGGCAGCAGUAGGGAAUCUUCCGCAAUGGGCGAAAGCCUGACGGAGCAACGCCGCGUGAGUGAUGAAGGUCUUCGGAUCGUAAAACUCUGUUAUCAGGGAAGAACAAAUGUGUAAGUAACUGUGCACAUCUUGACGGUACCUGAUCAGAAAGCCACGGCUAACUACGUG
RNAcentral lists this ribosomal RNA (497 nucleotides) under uncultured bacterium. RNAcentral describes it as "partial 16S ribosomal RNA". It matches the Rfam family "Bacterial small subunit ribosomal RNA", at positions 28 to 507 of the family's 1533-position model. The record is from RNAcentral.